Molecule: long non-coding RNA, 3579 nt
Organism: Homo sapiens (human)
Lineage: Eukaryota; Metazoa; Chordata; Mammalia; Primates; Hominidae
Source: Ensembl
AUCACAAGAUUUCUUUAAAUGCUAAGGUCUGAAAUAAGGUCUUUAUUUUUUUCAUUAUUCAUCAACAGAUAGUGCCUACUGCAGUAGGUCUGAGAGUUACGGUAGUAUACCAUCACCUUCAAGAUGUCCAUCUUGUAAUAAAGGAGUCAGAUUACUAAGGAACCAAUUACAAUAUUGUGAACAAGGUCUUGUGUGUCAUGUUAAUGUUAUGCUUAUGGUGCUACAGGAGCACACACAUCCUAGGCUUUCAAAAGGUGGAUCCUGAAGGGUGAAGGUGGACUCAAAGGUAGAUGAAUAGUUAGUGUAAAAGCUCAGAGGCAGCAUAACCUAGAAUAGUGCCAACUGCAAAUAUAAUGAGAUAUACUUACCAAAGAAUGCAAAACUGGAAGCAUCCAAACAGUGUUCAGCUGUUUAAAAAGUCAUGCUUUUUAAUUGAAGAAUAAUUUGCCAGUAGUGCAUGGCAUGUGGUGAAAGAGUGAUGUGGGAGCCGUAAAUGAUGCCUUAGUGGUGUCAUAAUCACGUAGAAUGGUGGAGCCAGUAGUUUUGGGAUGACAUUAUAGUGAACAUACCAAUUCCAGGUCAUUUAUAUGUUGUGAUGAGUAACAACUUUUUUAUGGUGUUGAAUUGCAGUUGCGCAAAUAUCCAUUACAUAUCUCAUUUCUUAAUUUGUAUACUGGAAAGUAAAACCAAAACAGUGCAUCUUUUUUUGACCACAACUCACAGGAAGAAGAAAUAUAUUUUACCCUGGGACCUAGUAGUUUCAUGACAUAUAUGUAUAACUGAAACAGAUUUCACAAAACAGUGAUUAUAGCCAACACAUAGUAUUUUCUAUGUGCCAUGCACUAUUCUAAGUGCUUUGUAAAUAUUAACUUAAUCCACAUAAUGACACUAUACUGAACUACAUGUAAUAUACUCUGAUAUGUUCUGUUCUAAUUGAAGGCAGACACUCCAGCUGUAGAGCCUCUUUCAUAACAGUAUACACAGUGAAUGCACCUAACACAAUACCUGCCCCUGGCGGGGGAUCUUUCUCUGCCCCACAUCCUCCUCCUCCCCAGUGCUUGUCAGCAUUGGCUCCCCUUUUCACCCCAGUCUCUGUGGUACCUCUCAUCUUUCCCCUUCCCCAGCCACAGCCUUGCCUGUCUCCAGAAAUGCCCUCACCAAAUGCUGGUGCAAAGAAAGUCUGGAAGGAUGGAAGCUGCCGAUCCCACUGAUAUUGGGCAGCGGGCUUACUCCUCGGAGACUGGCAGCUCAGGGUCACAUUGGUGACCCUUCUGUCUGCACCCUUCUGUCGUUUCAUUUAUCCCUUCUCCAACUCUUGCCCUCAGCCAUUUAGGAGAGUGACUCGCCUGACCUCCCAGUGCAGGUGGGGAGGGGUCCGGAAGUCUGUGCUUCUCACUCACCCUGUACACUGAGUUCUAAGGUUUUGAUGAUGUAGCCCGUAAUGAUGCCUUGUUUGUCUUGCACAUUCACGGAGCAGCUGUAGGGGCCAGAGUCUCUCUCCUGGAGACCCUCCAGCCACAGGGACAGUUCUAGGAGGGCAUGGAGUAGACCAAGGAUACUCCAGGUUUGCUUGUUGUGACCCCAUUGAUGGUCAAUGAUGGCAUUCUCCAAAUGUCCCUCACAUGCACCCAUUCUUCCAACCUGAAACCAGCUCCCAUUCACCUUUUGUCCCUAGCCCCCUUUCACUGUCCCUGGGUCCUCUUCACCAGAAUAGUUCACUUCUUGGUCCCUUACACGUUAUCUCUUCAUCUCCUACUUGUGUUUAGAAAGGUGGUCACAACUUGCUAAAAUUAAUUGUACAACCCACUAAUGGGCCAUAACCUACAGUUAAAUAAAAGAGGACUAGAAGAUAAUACAGUGAGAUCAAGAUUUUUUCAUUCAUUGUGUUCUUUUAGACUGAACCUAUUGAAACUCCAGAAACAUUAAUUUGCAACAUCUGUCCCAGAUAUUCUGGUGAAAUUAUAUUACAUAGUUUUAGAUAGCUUGAGCCUAAGCUUUGAGAUAAAGGGUGAAGCAGGGGAGUGGGAAGUAGUAAGAAAUGAGACUGGAGACUUAAACAAGAGGUCAGGUGAUACGCUAAGGCGUUUGGACUUUAUUCUAAUCAUCAAAGGAUUUUAAGCCAGGCAAUGACAUGGUUAGUCUUAAAUUUUAAAACAGUCCCUGGCUGUAAUAUGGAGAAUCAAAAGAGUAAGACUGGAAGCACAAAGAUUAUUUAGAGGCUUCUUGCAGUAAGCUAGAUGGAAAGUGAAAUAAAGCAGUGGUAACGAAGAUGGAGACACAAGAAUAAAUUUCAUAUACAUCAAAACCGAGGACCUGUUUCGAAGAAUCUGGGAAUUUUAAUUUCCAGAAUUUGUUAGAUCCUAACCUGUGAGACAACUCACUAUCUACUUCUCUACCAGCUUACACAGAGGGUUCUUGACUGCAGUCAAAGACCAUAACAGUAUUUCAUAGCUGAAGUUUUCAGGCUUGAUUUCUAAGAACCCAAGGAAAACCAACUGAAAUACCAAAUGAAGACAGUCCUGUCUGUAUUUCCUCUACCAUAUACUCUCUGCAGACUCUUCAGUUCUGCUUCCCAGUCUUCAGAAGUGAUUAUCCUGCUUUCCCCCCCGACUUUUUCACAAUAUUACCAGAGAGUAAGAACUAAAAUUCAGAUCCAGUAUUUCAAAUGUUAAGUGUCAUGUAGCUAGAUACCUAGAUUUGUGCUCCUAGUGUUACGUUAACGUAGAACCAGCAGUUGUUUUCUAUGGAAAAUUGUAUCUGUGUAAUGUUAAAACAAACGAAAUAAAAUAGAAGGAAAAACUUUCUGAGUUUCAAAAACAACAGACUAGUACUCUAAAGAACUCUUUAAAACAAUUAACUGUUAGGAUUGCAGUUAUGAUUGGAUAUUAUUUAAUUCUGUUUCUGAUGUGGGGUUCCUCCACUGUGUUCUGUGUGCUAUUAAUAUUUACCAUUGCAGAAGCUUCAUUCAGUGUUGAAAAUGAAUGCUUAGUGGAUCUGUGCCUCUUAUGCAUAUGUUACAAAUUAUCUGGAGUUCCUAAUCAAUGCAGAGUUCCCCUCCCCUCCGAUUGUUCUAAAUAAUUGAAAGAUGUCUGCUGUGGAAAAAGGCAUGUAUUUAAAUCUGUAUGAUUCUCAACCAUCUUUAGUUGGGAAAGGUCCUUGAAAGCCAAUGGAAAUACUUUUUUUUUUUCUUGGCACUAAUCAAGUGAGUGUUACCUUUUCACUUAGUAGGAUGUGUUGUUACGCUAGUAAAAUAGAAACCUGUGUUUAUUCUCAGGUAUUUUAGAAACAACAGCCAUCAUUUUAUUUUAUGUGUGUGUUCUUGGCUGUAUUCAUAAAUUAUAUAUUUUGGGCUAUCAAAUAUUACUUCAUUCAAUAUAAAUAACAAUAGUAGAAGUUGUUUACUUAGAUAUGCUUUCUAGUUGCAUUUUCUCAGCCUAUGUAAGACUACUUUGUUGUAAUAGCCUUUGAAAUUUACAGUACUGUCUCUCUACUAUCUUCAGAUUACUUGAUUCAAAUAAACCAAUUAUGUUUGUAAUUGAUAUUAAUAAAACCAGAAUAAAAGUUCAUAUCUACCCAAAA